GACGAACCGGACAAACGUUAUUCGGAAUUAUUGGGCUUAAAGGGUGCGUAGGCGGUGCGGUAAGUUGGGUGUGAAAUCCCUCGGCUCAACCGAGGAAUUGCGCCCAAUACUGCCGUGCUCGAGGGAGACAGAGGUGAGCGGAACUGAUGGUGGAGCGGUGAAAUGCGUUGAUAUCAUCAGGAACACCGGUGGCGAAAGCGGCUCGCUGGGUCUCUACUGACGCUGAGGCACGAAAGCUAGGGUAGCGAACAGG
This 253-nucleotide ribosomal RNA is filed under the name uncultured bacterium. RNAcentral's name for it is "partial 16S ribosomal RNA". It matches the Rfam family "Bacterial small subunit ribosomal RNA", at positions 524 to 776 of the family's 1533-position model. The record is from RNAcentral.